RNAcentral lists this ribosomal RNA (465 nucleotides) under Vreelandella stevensii. Its description in RNAcentral is "partial 16S ribosomal RNA". It matches the Rfam family "Bacterial small subunit ribosomal RNA", at positions 338 to 795 of the family's 1533-position model. Lineage: Bacteria; Pseudomonadati; Pseudomonadota; Gammaproteobacteria; Oceanospirillales; Halomonadaceae. The record is from RNAcentral.
CCUACGGGUGGCUGCAGUGGGGAAUAUUGGACAAUGGGGGGAACCCUGAUCCAGCCAUGCCGCGUGUGUGAAGAAGGCCCUCGGGUUGUAAAGCACUUUCAGUGAGGAAGAACGCCUGGUGGUUAAUACCCAUCAGGAAAGACAUCACUCACAGAAGAAGCACCGGCUAACUCCGUGCCAGCAGCCGCGGUAAUACGGAGGGUGCGAGCGUUAAUCGGAAUUACUGGGCGUAAAGCGCGCGUAGGUGGCUUGAUAAGCCGGUUGUGAAAGCCCCGGGCUCAACCUGGGAACGGCAUCCGGAACUGUCAGGAUAGAGUGCAGGAGAGGAAGGUAGAAUUCCCGGUGUAGCGGUGAAAUGCGUAGAGAUCGGGAGGAAUACCAGUGGCGAAGGCGGCCUUCUGGACUGACACUGACACUGAGGUGCGAAAGCGUGGGUAGCAAACAGGAUUAGAUACCCCUGUAGUC